UGAGGAAUAUUGGGCAAUGCCCGCAAGGGUGACCCAGCAACGCCGCGUGGAGGAUGAAUGUCGUAAGAUUGUAAACUCCUGUUAGAGGGGAAGAAUAGUACCGGUUGGACCGGUAUAUGACUGUACCCUCAGAGAAAGCCCCGGCUAACUACGUGCCAGCAGCCGCGGUAAUACGUAGGGGGCAAGCGUUGUCCGGAUUUACUGGGUGUAAAGGGCGCGCAGGCGGGAUAAAAAGUCAGUGGUGAAAUCCUACAGCUUAACUGUAGAACUGCCUUUGAUACUUUUAUUCUUGAGUUCGGGAGAGAGAGACGGAAUUCCAGGUGUAGUGGUGAAAUACGUAGAUAUCUGGAAGUACACCAGUUGCGAAGGCGGUCUCUUGGUCCGACACUGACGCUGAGGCGCGAAAGCGUGGGGAGCAAACA
This 422-nucleotide ribosomal RNA is filed under the name uncultured bacterium. Its description in RNAcentral is "bacterial SSU rRNA". It matches the Rfam family "Bacterial small subunit ribosomal RNA", at positions 355 to 774 of the family's 1533-position model. The record is from RNAcentral.